Molecule: ribosomal RNA, 253 nt
Filed under: uncultured bacterium
Lineage: Bacteria
Description: partial 16S ribosomal RNA
Rfam family: Bacterial small subunit ribosomal RNA
Source: RNAcentral
UACAGAGGGUGCAAGCGUCGUCCGGAAUUAUUGGGCGUAAAGAGCUCGUAGGCGGUUUGUCGCGUCGGCUGUGAAAACCCGGGGCUCAACCCCGGGCCUGCAGUCGAUACGGGCAAACUAGAGUGUGGUAGGGGAGACUGGAAUUCCUGGUGUAGCGGUGAAAUGCGCGGAUAUCAGGAGGAACACCGGUGGCGAAGGCGGGUCUCUGGGCCAUAACUGACGCUGAGGAGCGAAAGCGUGGGGAGCAAACAGG